This 76-nucleotide transfer RNA is filed under the name Rhodothermaeota bacterium MED-G18. RNAcentral describes it as "tRNA-Gly". It matches the Rfam family "tRNA". From Rfam's summary of the family: Transfer RNA (tRNA) molecules are approximately 80 nucleotides in length. Their secondary structure includes four short double-helical elements and three loops (D, anti-codon, and T loops). Lineage: Bacteria; Pseudomonadati; Rhodothermota. RNAcentral also lists the same sequence under 3 other names. The record is from RNAcentral.
GCGGGCGUAGCUCAGUUGGUAGAGCGACAGCCUUCCAAGCUGUAGGUCGAGGGUUCGAAUCUCUUCGCCCGCUCUA